RNAcentral lists this long non-coding RNA (1278 nucleotides) under Homo sapiens (human). Its description in RNAcentral is "HSALNT0315951". The record is from RNAcentral. Lineage: Eukaryota; Metazoa; Chordata; Mammalia; Primates; Hominidae.
AUGAGUAAGGGGGGAAGUCCUCCUGCCUGACUACCUUUGAACUGGGACAUGUGCCUUUUUUUUCUGCCUUCAGACUCAAACUAAACGUCAGCUUUUCCCGGCUCUCAAGCCUGCUGGUCCCUGAACUAAAACUCACAUUAUCAACUCUACUGGUUCUUAGGCCUUUGGAGUCAGACUGGAACUACAGCAUUGACUCUUCCGGAACUCCAGCUUACUGACUACAGAUCUUGGAACUUUUCAGCUUCCACAACCAUAAUGAAAGCCAAGCAUAUUCCAUCAUUUCCUAAAACCAAGAUAGAGCACAUAUGGGAACUUGUGAAAUAAGGAUGCCCUGCGGUUGUUUUCAGGACUGAAGACAACAGCUCCACGAUGUAUCUUUGCAUAAGAAUACACUUGUAUAAUAAGUUUUUUUUUUUAGAGAAAUUGCAUGUAUCUGCCUUAUAAACUUUUUCAUUCAUUCAUUUUCUUUCUUCCUAAUCUGUUCCAUAAAGCAAAUUUCUAACUUAUUGUUAAUCAAAAUAAUUAUUGAAAUAAUUAGUACUUUCAUAUGAUAAAGAUUAUUUUAAUCUGCAGCUACAAAAUAUGUAACUCAUUAAUAUUUAAACAAUCACAAUUUUCUAUUAACAUUAUAGCAUUUUAUCUACUACUAGAUCAGGAAUUAGCUAUUUUUUGUAAAAUUUCUUUGUAAGGCAAAGCAAUAGUAUUGUAUAUACUUUCCUAAAGAUUGUCAAGUUCAGUUUUGCUUAAAUUUAACAGUACAUGUGACACUUUCUGUUUGAAGAAUAAGUUGGUUUUAAGUUUAUACCAAACAAAAGCAUCUCUUUUGUUUUGCAAAAUCUGAAACUUUGAUCUUUCUAGUUGUGACUUCUUGUAAAUAUGUUUUAUAUAAAUAUUCUAUGAAUUGGUUAUUAACAAGGUAAAGAAAGAUUGAUAUGUAAGCUGAUUCUUAAACAUUAAUUUUCUGGAGAUAAACUUUUUUAAAAUUAUGCUUUAAAAAUAUUUUAACACAUGUUAUCAAAAAGGAACUGAAAUAUCUUAGGCAUAAAAGACAUCUCUAGAGGUCAUUAUUCAGUUUCCAGAAAGUACUGAAACUAUCUCUGACAGAUUGAUACGUUUUCUGCAUUUAUAGCUCUCUGGAGAGAGGUUCUGUAUAUUUAACAAUUCUCACUGUGAGGGAUAUUUUAAGUAUUUCAAAUUUAAAGUGCUCAUGUUUCAGAUUCAGAUUAUUAUUAUCAUCAUCAUUAUUUUGGUUCUGGCUUCAGUAAAAAUGUGAAAAAC